UACGUAGGGGGCAAGCGUUAUCCGGAUUUACUGGGUGUAAAGGGAGCGUAGACGGCAUGGCAAGUCUGAUGUGAAAACCCGGGGCUCAACCCCGGGACUGCAUUGGAAACUGUCAGGCUAGAGUGUCGGAGAGGCAAGUGGAAUUCCUAGUGUAGCGGUGAAAUGCAUAGAUAUCGCGCAGAACUCCGAUUGCGAAGGCAGCAUGCCGGCUCCACACUGACGCUGAGGCACGAAAGCGUGGGUAUCGAACAGG
RNAcentral lists this ribosomal RNA (253 nucleotides) under uncultured Dorea sp. RNAcentral describes it as "partial 16S ribosomal RNA". It matches the Rfam family "Bacterial small subunit ribosomal RNA", at positions 524 to 776 of the family's 1533-position model. The record is from RNAcentral. Lineage: Bacteria; Bacillati; Bacillota; Clostridia; Lachnospirales; Lachnospiraceae.